RNAcentral lists this ribosomal RNA (207 nucleotides) under uncultured bacterium. RNAcentral's name for it is "partial 16S ribosomal RNA". It matches the Rfam family "Bacterial small subunit ribosomal RNA", at positions 568 to 774 of the family's 1533-position model. The record is from RNAcentral.
CACGUAGGCGGAUUGCUAAGUCAGGGGUGAAAUCCUGGAGCUCAACUCCAGAACUGCCCUUGAUACUGGCGAUCUUGAGUCCGGGAGAGGUGAGUGGAACUGCGAGUGUAGAGGUGAAAUUCGUAGAUAUUCGCAAGAACACCAGUGGCGAAGGCGGCUCACUGGCCCGGUACUGACGCUGAGGUGCGAAAGCGUGGGGAGCAAACA